AACACAUUUAUAGUUAAAAACCAUUCUCCAAAAUACUCAUAUUGACCUCUAUAACUAGAAAUAUACUAUUAAAACAAAAUCAGCUAGACCUAGUUUCAGGCUCAGGAAGUCAAUAAUACUAAGCACCAAUGAUGCUACCAAUAGCAAGUGAUUGCACAAGAUAACAUGAUACCUCAACAAAGGGCCAUUAGAAAUUAUAUAUUUACCAAGAACAUAAAACACUUCGGUUUUAAAAAUUUAAAGGAAGUCUGAAAUUUGGAACUGCUAAGGAACCGCAUGACAACCAUAUUAUCAGUUCACACCUCGGCCUCCAGGUGGUAUUUUGGCAUCUCAGAACAAAAUGAUUUCGAUUCCAGAAAAGAAAAUCAAAGGGCAUAAACCACAAAAGAAACUAUUGCAAAAAACAACACAGGAAAAA
Molecule: long non-coding RNA, 418 nt
Organism: Populus euphratica (Euphrates poplar)
Lineage: Eukaryota; Viridiplantae; Streptophyta; Magnoliopsida; Malpighiales; Salicaceae
Exons: 2
Source: RefSeq, a predicted model, not a curated record